UAGGCUGCAACUCGCCUACACGAAGCUGGAAUCGCUAGUAAUCGCGGAUCAGCACGCCGCGGUGAAUACGUUCCCGGGCCUUGUACACACCGCCCGUCACACCAUGAGAGUCUGUAACACCCAAAGCCGGUGGGAUAACCUUUAUAGGAGUCAGCCGUCUAAGGUAGGACAGAUGAUUAGGGUGAAGUCGUAACAAGGUAUC
RNAcentral lists this ribosomal RNA (202 nucleotides) under uncultured bacterium. RNAcentral describes it as "partial 16S ribosomal RNA". It matches the Rfam family "Bacterial small subunit ribosomal RNA", at positions 1301 to 1500 of the family's 1533-position model. The record is from RNAcentral.